GACGAACGCUGGCGGCGUGCUUAACACAUGCCAGUCGAACGCUGAAGCUCAGCUUGCUGGGUGGAUGAGUGGCGAACGGGUGAGUAACACGUGAGUAACCUGCCCCCUUCUUUGGGAUAACGCCCGGAAACGGGUGCUAAUACUGGAUAUUCACUGAUCUUCGCAUGGGGGUUGGUGGAAAGGUUUUUUCUGGUGGGGGAUGGGCUCGCGGCCUAUCAGCUUGUUGGUGGGGUGAUGGCCUACCAAGGCUUUGACGGGUAGCCGGCCUGAGAGGGUGACCGGUCACAUUGGGACUGAGAUACGGCCCAGACUCCUACGGGAGGCAGCAGUGGGGAAUAUUGCACAAUGGGCGAAAGCCUGAUGCAGCGACGCCGCGUGAGGGAUGGAGGCCUUCGGGUUGUAAACCUCUUUCGCUCAUGGUCAAGCCGCAACAGUGGUUGUGGUGAGGGUAGUGGGUAAAGAAGCGCCGGCUAACUACGUG
Molecule: ribosomal RNA, 481 nt
Filed under: uncultured bacterium
Lineage: Bacteria
Description: partial 16S ribosomal RNA
Rfam family: Bacterial small subunit ribosomal RNA
Source: RNAcentral